CCUACGGGUGGCAGCAGUGGGGAAUAUUGCACAAUGGGCGAAAGCCUGAUGCAGCAACGCCGCGUGAAGGAAGAAGGGUUUCGGCAUGUUAACCUCCUUUAAUAGGGACGAAAGAAAUGACGGUACUAGCAUAAGAAGACUAGGCUACCUACGUGCAAGCAGCCGCGGUAAUACGUAGGGGGCAAGCGUUAUCCGGAUUUACUGGGUGUAAAGGGUGCGUAGGCGGGUUGGUAAGCAAGAUGUGAAAGCCUGGGGCUUAACCCGGGGAUUGCAUUUGGAACUGUCAGGCUAGAGUACAGGAGAGGUAAGCGGAAUUCCUGGUGUAGCGGUGAAAUGCGUAGAUAUUAGGAAGAACACCGGUGGCGAAGGCAGCUUUCUGGACUAAAACUGACGCUGAGGCACGAAAGCGUGGGGAGCGAACAGGAUUAGAUACCCGAGUAGUC
Molecule: ribosomal RNA, 443 nt
Filed under: uncultured bacterium
Lineage: Bacteria
Description: partial 16S ribosomal RNA
Rfam family: Bacterial small subunit ribosomal RNA
Source: RNAcentral